ACGGCGAGUGAAGCGGCAACAGCUCAAAUUUGAAAUCUCGCCCCCGGGUCCGAGUUGUAAUUUGCAGAGGAUGCUUCGGGCGAGGUGCCUUCCGAGUUCCCUGGAACGGGACGCCACAGAGGGUGAGAGCCCCGUCUGGUCGGACACCGAGCCCGUGUGAAGCUCCUUCGAAGAGUCGAGUAGUUUGGGAAUGCUGCUCAAAAUGGGAGGUAUAUGUCUUCUAAAGCUAAAUAUUGGCCAGAGACCGAUAGCGCACAAGUAGAGUGAUCGAAAGAUGAAAAGCACUUUGAAAAGAGGGUUAAAAAGUACGUGAAAUUGUUGAAAGGGAAGCGCCCAUGACCAGACUUGGGCCCGGUGAAUCACCCGGCGUUCUCGCCGGUGCACUUUGCCGGGCACAGGCCAGCAUCAGUUUGGCGCGGGGGAGAAAGGCUUCGGGAACGUGGCUCCCUCGGGAGUGUUAUAGCCCGCUGCGCAAUACCCUGCGCCGGACUGAGGUACGCGCAUCGCAAGGAUGCUGGCGUAAUGGUCAUCAGCGACCCGUCUUGAAACACGGACCAAGGAGUCGUCUUCGUAUGCGAGUGUUCGGGUGUCAAACCCCUACGCGGAAUGAAAGUGAACGCAGGUGAGAGCUUCGGCGCAUCAUCGACCGAUCCUGAUGUUCUCGGAUGGAUUUGAGUAAGAGCAUACGGGGCCGGACCCGAAAGAAGGUGAACUAUGCCUGUAUAGGGUGAAGCCAGAGGAAACUCUGGUGGAAGCUCGCAGCGGUUCUGACGUGCGAAUCGAUCGUCAAAUAUGGGCAUGGGGGCGAAAGACUAAUCGAA
Molecule: ribosomal RNA, 821 nt
Filed under: Cordyceps takaomontana
Lineage: Eukaryota; Fungi; Ascomycota; Sordariomycetes; Hypocreales; Cordycipitaceae
Description: LSU rRNA
Rfam family: Eukaryotic large subunit ribosomal RNA
Source: RNAcentral